UACGGAGGGGGCUAGCGUUGUUCGGAAUUACUGGGCGUAAAGCGCGCGUAGGCGGAUCUGCAAGUCAGACGUGAAAUCCCUCGGCUUAACCGGGGAACUGCGUCUGAUACUGGAUGGCUUGAGAUUGGGAGAGGGAUGCGGAAUUCCAGGUGUAGCGGUGAAAUGCGUAGAUAUCUGGAGGAACACCGGUGGCGAAGGCGGCAUCCUGGACCAACACUGACGCUGAGUGAGCGAAAGCCAGGGGAGCAAACGGG
RNAcentral lists this ribosomal RNA (254 nucleotides) under uncultured bacterium. Its description in RNAcentral is "partial 16S ribosomal RNA". It matches the Rfam family "Bacterial small subunit ribosomal RNA", at positions 524 to 776 of the family's 1533-position model. The record is from RNAcentral.